This 433-nucleotide ribosomal RNA is filed under the name uncultured bacterium. RNAcentral describes it as "partial 16S ribosomal RNA". It matches the Rfam family "Bacterial small subunit ribosomal RNA", at positions 29 to 507 of the family's 1533-position model. The record is from RNAcentral.
AACGAACGCUGGCGGCAUGCCUAACACAUGCAAGUCGAACGAGACCUUCGGGUCUAGUGGCGCACGGGUGCGUAACGCGUGGGAACCUGCCCUUAGGUUCGGAAUAACUCCCCGACAGGGGUGCUAAUACCGGAUAAUGUCUUCGGACCAAAGAUUUAUCGCCUUUGGAUGGGCCCGCGUUGGAUUAGCUAGUUGGUAGGGUAAAAGCCUACCAAGGCUACGAUCCAUAGCUGGUCUGAGAGGAUGAUCAGCCACACUGGGACUGAGACACGGCCCAGACUCCUACGGGAGGCAGCAGGGGGGAAUAUUAGACAAUGGGCGAAAGCCUGAUCCAGCAAUGCCGCGUGAGUGAUGAAGGCCUUAGGGUUGUAAAGCUCUGUUACCCGGGAUGAUAAUGACAGUACCGGGAGAAUAAGCUCCGGCUAACUCCGUG